Molecule: ribosomal RNA, 497 nt
Filed under: uncultured bacterium
Lineage: Bacteria
Description: partial 16S ribosomal RNA
Rfam family: Bacterial small subunit ribosomal RNA
Source: RNAcentral
GAUGAACGCUGGCGGCGUGCCUAAUACAUGCAAGUCGAGCGAACGGACGAGGAGCUUGCUCCUCUGACGUUAGCGGCGGACGGGUGAGUAACACGUGGAUAACCUACCUAUAAGACUGGGAUAACUUCGGGAAACCGGAGCUAAUACCGGAUAAUAUAUUGAACCGCAUGGUUCAAUAGUGAAAGACGGUUUUGCUGUCACUUAUAGAUGGAUCCGCGCCGCAUUAGCUAGUUGGUAAGGUAACGGCUUACCAAGGCAACGAUGCGUAGCCGACCUGAGAGGGUGAUCGGCCACACUGGAACUGAGACACGGUCCAGACUCCUACGGGAGGCAGCAGUAGGGAAUCUUCCGCAAUGGGCGAAAGCUUGACGGAGCAACGCCGCGUGAGUGAUGAAGGUCUUCGGAUCGUAAAACUCUGUUAUUAGGGAAGAACAAAUGUGUAAGUAACUAUGCACGUCUUGAUGGUACCUAAUCAGAAAGCCACGGCUAACUACGUG